UUAUUUUUCAGUUUUAGAAUAAAGUCAAAAUUUCGAAAUUAAAUUUGAAAUGCUUUUUCAGAAAAAUAGUCAAAAUACUAUUUUUAGAAAAAACAAAGUUUCAAGUCAAACCACUGCUCCACGGCUGCUAUAUACUCUACGAAAUGCCUGGUGUAAAUGAGUUAGUGAAACAACUUAAUCAGCUGUCUUAUUGUGUCUUGUGCUACAACACAAUCCCUCUUUCGUGCAUGACGAUGUCACCAUCGGUAUCCUUGUAUUUGGUGAAACUGGGAAAUGUGAGGUUUCAUUUAUAAAGUUUAAAAAUAAUAAUCAAAAAAAUAAUCAUUGUGCUAAAUGUUCAGAGUCAUUAACUCAGUGGGAACGAACAACAAAACAAAUUUACAAUUUUCAUGAAUACUGAAACUGUUAACUGUAAACUGUAAGAUCACUCAGACUGUUUUUUUUCUUCUUUCAGGGCACACAAAGAUCGUCUAUGUACUUUAUUUCUAUGCUUACAGCUCCUGGUCAGGCAGAGCCAUUUAUAUGGAGGACUUGUAUGUGAUGCCUGAGUUCAGAGGGAAAGGCGUUUAUCACUUCUACCUCUUCUUAAAGUCAAUAAAGAGCUCUUUUACUGAUGGCAUGAAGUUGGCUUUAAUGUUAGUUGUAAGGUCUUGGGGUUGUUACAGCUUCACACUGAUCACAAACUACACCACCGUCGAACUAAAACAUAACAUAAAAUUCAAUGAAAUAGUAAGACGAGUGAAAUAAAGACAUAAAAUGAUCUACAUAACAUACAAACAUACCUCGCUGGCUGACCCAUGCUUUGAGGCAGAAAUGAGCACUUUACAGAUACUUUUAAGAAACAACUUUCUCUGAAUUAAAUUGGCUUCUCUUGCUUCAACUUGCCAUGCUCACACAUCAACAUGGGCGUGCAUCUCCCUCAGGUGCACCAGUGGAACCAGCAUGCAGUACAAUAGUGCCUACAUGAGAAUUUUCACAAUAAAUGACCUAAUGGCAUAUAAAAUAUGCAUAGUGCAAAACAAAAUACAUUAACUGAAAGUAAGGCAGUAAAAGCGUUGGUAAAGCACUAAUAAGCAAGGUGGCACAGCUGGGUCUGGCUGCUGGUUGCCACCAGCUCAACUUCACCGUCCUGGACUGGAAAAAACCAUCUGUGGACUUUUACCUCAGCCAGGGCUGCUUUGAUAUCACUGCUACAAUGGGCUACCA
Long non-coding RNA from Oreochromis niloticus (Nile tilapia), 1206 nucleotides. RefSeq lists it as uncharacterized. Lineage: Eukaryota; Metazoa; Chordata; Actinopteri; Cichliformes; Cichlidae. The transcript has 3 exons. The record is from RefSeq and is a predicted model, not a curated record.